GUGAACGCUGGCGGUAGGCCUAACACAUGCAAGUCGAACGGCAGCACAGUAAGAGCUUGCCCUUACGGGUGGCGAGUGGCGGACGGGUGAGGAAUACAUCGGAAUCUACUUUUUCGUGGGGGAUAACGUAGGGAAACUUACGCUAAUAACGCAUACGACCUACGGGUGAAAACAGGGGAUCUUCGGACCUUGCGCGAUUGAAUGAGCCGAUGUUGGAUUAGCUAGUUGGCGGGGUAAAGGCCCACCAAGGCGACGAUCCGUAGCUGGUCUGAGAGGAUGAUCAGCCACACUGGAACUGAGACACGGUCCAGACUCCUACGGGAGGCAGCAGUGGGGAAUAUUGGACAAUGGGCGCAAGCCUGAUCCAGCCAUACCGCGUGGGUGAAGAAGGCCUUCGGGUUGUAAAGCCCUUUUGUUGGGAAAGAAAAGCAGCAGGUUAAUACCCCGCUGUUCUGACGGUACCCAAAGAAUAAGCACCGGCUAACUUCGUG
This 491-nucleotide ribosomal RNA is filed under the name uncultured bacterium. Its description in RNAcentral is "partial 16S ribosomal RNA". It matches the Rfam family "Bacterial small subunit ribosomal RNA", at positions 29 to 507 of the family's 1533-position model. The record is from RNAcentral.